ACAGAUCGAAAGCUUGUAGGUAGGUCUUCAUUUUAACCACCCAUAUGUGGUAGCCUUCUCCAUUGAAGACUUGAGGUGCAGCUGGUGAAAAGCUUGAUGAAGCCAUGAAUUUGUAUAACAGAUCCCUUAAGAAAUAGGCUCUUGAUACCAAUUGUUGGAGCUAAGUGCAACAAAUAGCAAGGUUCAACAAAAAGCUUGCCGAGCAAGAAUCGAGACUUGCGGUAGAAACAAAGAAGAAAAAUGAAAUAAAUUUUAAGCAAAGCUAAAAUAGAGAGUAUAUGGAUGAAAUCUUGAUUGAAUUCAUUCAUAUUUUUUUAAAAUGGCAUAAAGCCUAUUUAUACAAGCUUACAACUUGACAACUUAGUUGGAAUACAACUAAGUUUCAUCAUUACAUCCACUUAAAAUAAAUCACCACCUACUACCACUAACAAACUUAGUUGGAAUACAACUAAG
This 453-nucleotide long non-coding RNA is filed under the name Gossypium barbadense (sea-island cotton). Its description in RNAcentral is "long non-coding RNA (GBAR_LNC021213)". Lineage: Eukaryota; Viridiplantae; Streptophyta; Magnoliopsida; Malvales; Malvaceae. The record is from RNAcentral.